This 264-nucleotide ribosomal RNA is filed under the name uncultured bacterium. RNAcentral's name for it is "partial 16S ribosomal RNA". The record is from RNAcentral.
CUGCUGCCUUCCGUAGGAGUCUGGUCUGUGUCUCAGUACCAGUGUGGGGGACCUUCCUCUCAGAACCCCUACGCAUCGUCGCCACGGUGGGCCGUCACCCCGCCGUCUAGCUAAUGCGCCGCAUGCCCAUCCGCCACCGGAUCGCUCCUUUGGCCACCGGAGGAUGCCCUCCGGUGGCGUCACGGGGUAUUAGGCCGCGUUUCCGCGGGUUAUCCCCCUGUGGCGGCCAGGUUGCAUACGUGUUACUCACCCGUGCGCCGGUCG